RNAcentral lists this ribosomal RNA (406 nucleotides) under uncultured bacterium. Its description in RNAcentral is "partial 16S ribosomal RNA". It matches the Rfam family "Bacterial small subunit ribosomal RNA", at positions 30 to 526 of the family's 1533-position model. The record is from RNAcentral.
AUUGAACGCUGGCGGCAGGCCUAACACAUGCAAGUCGAACGAGUGGCGGACGGGUGAGUAAUGGCUGGGAAACUGCCUGAUGGAGGGGGAUAACUACUGGAAACGGUAGCUAAUACCGCAUACCAUCAGAUGUGCCCAGAUGGGAUUAGCUUGUUGGUGGGGUAACGGCUCACAAAGGCGACGAUCCCUAGCUGGUCUGAGAGGAUGACCAGCCACACGGGGACUGAGACACGGUCCAGACUCCUACGGGAGGCAGCAGUGGGGAAUAUUGGAAAAUGGGCGCAAGCCUGAGGCAGCCAUGCCGCGGGUAUGAAGAAGGCCUUCGGGUUGUAAAGUACUUUCAGCGGGGAGGCGUUACCCGCCGAAAAAGCACCGGCUAACUACGUGCCAGCAGCCGCGGUAAUUC